GCCAUAUACACAGGCCUUACCCAAAGCCAUAUACACAGGCCUUACCCAAAGCCAUAUACACAGGCCUUACCCAAAGCCAUACACAGGCCUUACCCAAAGCCAUACACAGGCCUUACCCAAAGCCAUACACAGGCCUUACCCAAAGCCAUACACAGGCCUUACCCAAAGCCAUACACAGGCCUUACCCAAAGCCAUACACAGGCCUUACCCAAAGCCAUAUACACAGGCCUUACCCAAUGCCAUACACAGGCCUUACCCAAAGCCAUAUACACAGGCCUUACCCAAAGCCAUAUACAGGCCUUAUCCAAAGCCAUAUACACAGGCCUUACCCAAAGCCAUAUACACAGGCCUUACCCAAAGCCAUAUACAGGCCUUAUCCAAAGCCAUAUACACAGGCCUUACCCAAAGCCAUAUACAGGCCUUACCCAAAGCCAUAUACACAGGCCUUACCCAAAGCCAUAUACACAGGCCUUACCCAAAGCCAUAUACACAGGCCUUAUCCAAAGCCAUAUACACAGGCCUUACCCAAAGCCAUAUACACAGGCCUUACCCAAAGCCAUAUACAGGCCUUACCCAAAGCCAUAUACAGGCCUUACCCAAAGCCAUAUACAGGCCUUACCCAAAGCCAUAUACAGGCCUUACCCAAAGCCAUAUACAGGCCUUACCCAAAGCCGUAUAUAAGACUUACUCAAAGCCAUAUACACAGGCCUUACCCAAAGCCAUAUACAGGCCUUACCCAAAGCCAUAUACACAGGCCUUACCCAAAGCCCCAUACACAGGCCUUACCCAAAGCCAUAUACACAGGCCUUACCCAAAGCCAUAUACACAGGCCUUACCCAAAGCCGUAUAUAAGACUUACUCAAAGCCAUAUACACAGGCCUUACCCAAAGCCGUAUAUAAGACUUACUCAAAGCCAUAUACACAGGCCUUACUCAAAGCCGUAUAUAAGACUUACUCAAAGCCAUAUACACAGGCCUUAUCCAAAGCCAUAUACAGGCCUUACCCAAAGCCAUAUACAGGCAUUACCCAAAGCCAUAUACAGGCCUUACCCAAAGCCAUAUACAGGCAUUACCCAAAGCCACACACAGACCUUACCCAAAGCCAUAUACACAGGCCUUACCCAAAGCCAUAUACAGGCCUUACCCAAAGCCAUAUACAGGCCUUACCCAAAGCCAUAUACAGGCCUUACCCAAAGCCAUAUACACAGGCCUUACCCAAAGCCAUAUACAGGCCUUACCCAAAGCCAUAUACAGGCCUUACCCAAAGCCAUAUACACAGGCCUUACCGAUCUUGGUUUUUAGUCGGUUUAUUUCUCUAUUUUACAAGAAAAUACAGGGAUUUACUGUACUUUUUUCUGCUACCUUUUUCUCUUCAUGGGCUCUGCUCCAUCGUCUCUAUGACGUAAUCUAACAGUGUGGAUGAGAUACUGUCUGACAGAAGUACUUUUCCUCAUACAAAGGAUGCUGCUGAAACAAGUAACUUGUCAUUUAAAAAAAGCAACGUCAGUAAAUGUCUUGAGUUCAGUACCUGUUUUAUUCAAACCGUUAUAACAUGGCCAUAGAGCUUAAUAACAUGGUCAUUAUGUACUCUUAUAACAUGGUCGUAACAUGGUCAUAAUAUGGGUUGUACAAUCCAAGCCAGCUGUAAAAACAUCAUGCAAAUGUCUACUAGUUGUUGGCUUCAUUUCUCAAAUAUGUGUGAGUAAAUGGAUUCAAGUUGUUCCUGAAUGAAUAAUUCUGACAAAUUAGUGUUGGUCGCUUAAUCUGACAUACUUGAUCCCACAUCGUUACAAGGCUGUAAUACGAACUCUAGUCACCAGAAAUGUAGAUUUUAGAUUCAAGCAAAUAUUAAUAAGCAUUUAUAAGUUACUUUGAAGCAAUUAUCUAAUGAAUGUUUCAUAAACAAUGCUAAUAAUACAACUAAAUGCACAGGAAGUAGAGUAUUUACAGAGGAAAAAGGCACAGUGAUGACCGAUUGAUCCUGGUCACAGAGAUCAGCUGGUCUGCAGCUUGGCAACAGGCAAGUGGUGUGUAUAUAUUGUCAUCCUCUCUUGCUUUCAAAUUAGGACAUUCAUGCAGAUUCUUCAUCCACAACAAUGGGAAGACCGGCUUCAUUUUCUUGACUAGGGGCUAAAAUGCAAGCGAGGAAAAUCAUAUUAGAAUGGGUGGACAUUCAAGAAAUAUGAAGCAACAAGUUCACUUUGUAUUUCAUGUAAAUAACCCUUCUCACCUCGUUGCAGUUGUAUCGGCCUCUGCUGUGACCUCAGCUGCUUUUCAGGAGCAAGAACAAACACAAAACAGUCAUCAACCUACAUUCACUAAUCGUUAUGUAUUAAGUGUUAAGAGGCCUGGAAGGGUAAUCCUGAAAUAAAUCCUGAACUACAAAAGCUGCAAUGUCCCUUUUCUGCUGUUUGAAGUCAGUGUAGGGCACCUUAUUUGUAGUGCACUACUUCUGACCAGGGCUCCCUAGGUUUGGUUUGGCACUACUUCUGACCAGGGCUCCCUAGGUUUGGUUUGGCACUACUUCUGACCAGGGCUCCCUAGGUUUGGUUUGGCACUACUUCUGACCAGGGCUCCCUAGGUUUGGUUUGGCACUACUUCUGACCAGGGCUCCCUAGGUUUGGUUUGGCAGGCCGUGAAUCAUUCUGCACCUCAGAGAGGCUGCCCUGCUUUCUGUGUCUCUGU
Oncorhynchus tshawytscha (Chinook salmon) is the source of this 2684-nucleotide long non-coding RNA. NCBI's taxonomy places the organism in Eukaryota, Metazoa, Chordata, Actinopteri, Salmoniformes, Salmonidae. The record is from Ensembl.